This 253-nucleotide ribosomal RNA is filed under the name uncultured bacterium. Its description in RNAcentral is "partial 16S ribosomal RNA". It matches the Rfam family "Bacterial small subunit ribosomal RNA", at positions 524 to 776 of the family's 1533-position model. The record is from RNAcentral.
UACGGAGGGUGCAAGCGUUAAUCGGAAUAAUUGGGCGUAAAGAGCGCGUAGGUGGUUUACCAAGUGCGUUGUGAAAGACUCGGGCUUAACCUGGGGAUGUCAACGCAAACGGGUAGACUAGAGUGAAGUAGAGGGUCGUGGAAUUUCCGGUGUAGCGGUGAAAUGCGUAGAGAUCGGAAGGAACACCAGUGGCGAAGGCGACGACCUGGACUUUAACUGACACUGAGGUGCGAAAGCGUGGGGAGCAAACAGG